CCCUUUACUAAGGAAUAGCCACUGGAAACGGUGAGUAAUACCUUAUACGCCCUUCGGGGGAAAGAUUUAUCGGUAAAGGAUCAGCCCGCGUUAGAUUAGAUAGUUGGUGGGGUAAUGGCCUACCAAGUCUACGAUCUAUAGCUGGUUUUAGAGGAUGAUCAGCAACACUGGGACUGAGACACGGCCCAGACUCCUACGGGAGGCAGCAGUGGGGAAUCUUAGACAAUGGGCGCAAGCCUGAUCUAGCCAUGCCGCGUGAGUGAUGAAGGUCUUAGGAUCGUAAAGCUCUUUCGCCAGGGAUGAUAAUGACAGUACCUGGUAAAGAAACCCCGGCUAACUCCGUGCCAGCAGCCGCGGUAAUACGGAGGGGGUUAGCGUUGUUCGGAAUUACUGGGCGUAAAGCGUACGUAGGCGGAUUAGAAAGUAUGGGGUGAAAUCCCAGGGCUCAACCCUGGAACUGCCUCAUAAACUACUAGUCUAGAGUUCGAGAGAGGUGAGUGGAAUUCCGAGUGUAGAGGUGAAAUUCGUAGAUAUUCGGAGGAACAUCAGUGGCGAARGCGGCUCACUGGCUCGAUACUGACGCUGAGGUACGAAAGUGUGGGGAGCAAACAGGAUUAGAUACCCUGGUA
RNAcentral lists this ribosomal RNA (629 nucleotides) under bacterium AC51. Its description in RNAcentral is "bacterial SSU rRNA". It matches the Rfam family "Bacterial small subunit ribosomal RNA", at positions 129 to 792 of the family's 1533-position model. The record is from RNAcentral.